UUAAGUUUUUACUAUAUACAUAUACGGAAAAUCAAUGACCACCUGGGGCGGGGCCAAUUUUGACCCUAGGGCUUUUAUUUGAACAAACUUGGUAGACACCCAUUAGAACAUGUUUCAUGCUAAAUAUCUUAGCUCUAGCUCUUUGGGUUUUUUAAAAGAAAUUUUUUAAGUUUACUAUAUGCAUUUAGGGAAAAUCAAUGACCCCCUGGGGCGGGGCCAAUUUUGACCCCAGGGCUUUUAUUUGAACAAACUUGGUAGACACUCACUAGAAGAUGUUUCAUGCCAAAUAUCUAAGCUCUAGCUCUUUGGGUUUUUUAAAAGAAGAUAUUUAAAGUUUUUUUCUUUUGGUUGCCAUGGCAACCA
Molecule: long non-coding RNA, 363 nt
Organism: Ruditapes philippinarum (Manila clam)
Lineage: Eukaryota; Metazoa; Mollusca; Bivalvia; Venerida; Veneridae
Exons: 2
Source: RefSeq, a predicted model, not a curated record